Long non-coding RNA from Myotis myotis, 695 nucleotides. RefSeq lists it as uncharacterized. NCBI's taxonomy places the organism in Eukaryota, Metazoa, Chordata, Mammalia, Chiroptera, Vespertilionidae. The transcript is spliced from 2 exons. The record is from RefSeq and is a predicted model, not a curated record.
AAUAAGGGACCGGAAUUAAGAGAAAUGUCCUACAGUGAUUAACGUGGCAUUUUUGUACAGAACACGGUUUUAAUAGUAUGCUAUAUUAUGGUGCCUUGUGGUUUACCGAAAUCCCAUUGAUCCAUGAAACAACACUUUGAGGUGGGAACUGUGUUUCCUCUUUGGACAGGAGGAAACAGACUGAGAGAAGUUAAGUGACAUUCUCAGGAUCCAGAGAUGAAGAGUGGCAGAGUCAGGCAAGACUGGAAUCACACUUCUGGCUCCUCGUCUCAUAUUGCAUCAUUACUGCUAUUACUGACCACGGGAGCUAUAACUCAUAGAGCAAUCCUCAAAAUAAUUUUGUAUCAGGGCAGAUGUUAAAAACAACUGAUAAAUAUGCAUCAAGAAAGAUGUGGAAAUGCACAGAUGGGAUGUAUGUUAAACCCAACCUCUUCCUGGGCCGGGUGGAACGUCGUCCUUGCGUGAAGACAGCAUUUCUGCACUAGAACUCCCUGCAGGCAAUUUUCACUCUAAAGAAAAAUAAGAGCAAAACAGUGAAGCUCUAGGCAAAUGGACUAUCUUCCUGAUGUAUGUUAGGCCAAGUAAAACAACUCUAAGCAAACGGUGCUAGCUAUAGCUUUGUUGUAGUGGAAAAUAAGCGACUACUUUGAGCUUGGUUUAAUAAAAAUCAAUAAUAAACAUUUUUUGGUUAAUUA